This 254-nucleotide ribosomal RNA is filed under the name uncultured bacterium. Its description in RNAcentral is "partial 16S ribosomal RNA". It matches the Rfam family "Bacterial small subunit ribosomal RNA", at positions 524 to 776 of the family's 1533-position model. The record is from RNAcentral.
GACGUAGGGCGCGAGCGUUGUCCGGAUUUAUUGGGCGUAAAGAGCUCGUAGGCGGCUUGUCGCGUCGAAUGUGAAAACUCGGGGCUCAACUCCGAGCUUGCAUUCGAUACGGGCAGGCUAGAGUUCGGUAGGGGAGGACUGGAAUUCCUGGUGUAGCGGUGAAAUGCGCAGAUAUCAGGAGGAACACCGGUGGCGAAGGCGGGUCUCUGGGCCAUUACUGACGCUGAGGAGCGAAAGCGUGGGGAGCGAACAGG